CUGUUCCUAGUUACCAGCAUUGAGUUGGGGACUCUAGGAAGACUGCCGGUGUUAAACCGGAGGAAGGCGGGGAUGACGUCAAGUCCUCAUGGCCCUUAUGUCCAGGGCAACACACGUACUACAAUGGCAGAGACAAAGCGACGCAAAACCGCGAGGUGGAGCCAAUCGCAAAAACACUGUCCAAGUCCGGAUUGAAGUCUGCAACUCGACUUCAUGAAGCUGGAAUCGCUAGUAAUCGCAGAUCAGAACGCUGCGGUGAAUACGUUCCCGGGCCUU
RNAcentral lists this ribosomal RNA (276 nucleotides) under uncultured bacterium. Its description in RNAcentral is "partial 16S ribosomal RNA". It matches the Rfam family "Bacterial small subunit ribosomal RNA", at positions 1105 to 1382 of the family's 1533-position model. The record is from RNAcentral.